GGUUACCUUGUUACGACUUGAUCCUGGCUCAGGACGAACGCUGGCGGCGUGCUUAACACAUGCAAGUCGAACGGUGAAGAGGAGCUUGCUCCUUGGAUCAGUGGCGAACGGGUGAGUAACACGUGAGCAAUCUGCCCUUGACUCUGGGAUAACUGCGGGAAACUGUAGCUAAUACCGGAUUUUACCUUGGAAGGCAUCUUCUGGGGUGGAAAGAAUUUUGGUCAAGGAUGAGCUCGCGGCCUAUCAGCUAGUUGGUGAGGUAAUGGCUCACCAAGGCGACGACGGGUAGCCGGCCUGAGAGGGUGACCGGCCACACUGGGACUGAGACACGGCCCAGACUCCUACGGGAGGCAGCAGUGGGGAAUAUUGCACAAUGGGCGCAAGCCUGAUGCAGCAACGCCGCGUGAGGGACGACGGCCUUCGGGUUGUAAACCUCUUUUAGUAGGGAAGAAGCGACUGGGUUUUCCUGGGAGUGACGGUACCUGCAGAAAAAGCACCGGCUAACUACGUGCCAGCAGCCGCGGUAAUACGUAGGGUGCAAGCGUUGUCCGGAAGUUAUUGGGCGUAAAGAGCUCGUAGGCGGUUUGUCGCGUCUGCUGUGAAAACCCGAGGCUCAACCUCGGGCCUGCAGUGGGUACGGGCAGACUAGAGUGCGGUAGGGGAGAUUGGAAUUCCUGGUGUAGCGGUGGAAUGCGCAGAUAUCAGGAGGAACACCAAUGGCGAAGGCAGAUCUCUGGGCCGUAACUGACGCUGAGGAGCGAAAGCAUGGGGAGCGAACAGGAUUAGAUACCCUGGUAGUCCAUGCCGUAAACGUUGGGAACUAGAUGUGGGGACCAUUCCACGGUCUCCGUGUCGCAGCUAACGCAUUAAGUUCCCCGCCUGGGGGAGUACGGCCGCAAGGCUAAAACUCAAAGGAAUUGACGGGGGCCCGCCACAAGCGGCGGGAGCAUGCGGAUUAAUUCGAUGCAACGCGAAAAACCUUACCUACCCUUGACAUGGUCGGAACCCUUAAGAGAUUAGGGGGUGCUCGAAAGAGAGCCGAUACACAGGUGCUGCAUGGCUGUCGUCAGCUCGUGUCGUGAGAUGUUGGGUUAAGUCCCGCAACGAGCGCAACCCUUGUCAUUAGUUGCUACGAAAGGGCACUCUAAUGAGACUGCCGGUGACUAACCGGAGGAAGGUGGGGAUGACGUCAAGCCCUCAUGGCCCUUAUGGGUAGGGCUUCACACGUCAUACAAUGGUACAUACAGAGGGCCGCCAACCCGCGAGGGGGAGCUAAUCCCAGAAAGUGUAUCGUAGUCCGGAUUGUAGUCUGCAACUCGACUACAUGAAGUUGGAAUCGCUAGUAAUCGCGGAUCAGCAUGUCGCGGUGAAUACGUUCCCGGGUCUUGUACACACCGCCCGUCACACCAUGGGAGCGGGUUUUACCAGAAGUAGGUAGCUUAACCGCAAGGGGGGCGCUUACCACGGUAGGAUUCGUGACUGGGGUGAAGUCUGAGCCAGGAUCAAACUCUACC
This 1514-nucleotide ribosomal RNA is filed under the name uncultured bacterium. Its description in RNAcentral is "partial 16S ribosomal RNA". It matches the Rfam family "Bacterial small subunit ribosomal RNA". The record is from RNAcentral.